RNAcentral lists this ribosomal RNA (1241 nucleotides) under metagenome. Its description in RNAcentral is "bacterial LSU rRNA". It matches the Rfam family "Bacterial large subunit ribosomal RNA", at positions 1564 to 2815 of the family's 2925-position model. The record is from RNAcentral.
UGAGUACGAGAUGCUACGGCAUCGAAGCAGUCUAUGUCAUACUUCCAAGAAAAGCUUGCACUGUCAUAAACAAAGAAUGCCUGUACCAUAACCGACACAGGUGGGUAGGUAGAGUAUACUAAGGGGCGCGAGAUAACUCUCUCUAAGGAACUCGGCAAAAUGACUCCGUAACUUCGGGAGAAGGAGUGCCUUAUUUAUAAGGUUGCAAUAACAAGAUCCAAGCAACUGUUUAUCAAAAACACAGGUCUCCGCUAAGUCGUAAGACGAUGUAUGGGGGCUGACGCCUGCCCAGUGCCAGAAGGUUAAAGAAGUUGGUUAGUGUAUGCGAAGCUGAUGACUGAAGCCCUGGUGAACGGCGGCCGUAACGAUAACGGUCCUAAGGUAGCGAAAUUCCUUGUCGGGUAAGUUCCGACCCGCACGAAAGGCGUAAUGAUUUGGAUACUGUCUCGGAGAGAGGCUCGGUGAAAUAGACUUGUCUGUGAAGAUGCGGACUACCUGCACCAGGACAGAAAGACCCUAUGAAGCUUUACUGUAACUUGAAAUUGGAAUUGGACUUUGCUUGCGCAGUAUAGGUGGGAAGCGUUGAAAAUAUUCUUGCGGGAGUAUUGGAGCUAUCAGUGAGAUACCACUCUUGUAAUGUUAGAUUUCUAACUUUGAACCAUAAUCUGGUCAAAGAACAGUUUCAGGUGGGCAGUUUGACUGGGGCGGUCGCCUCCCAAAUGGUAACGGAGGCGUACAAAGGUUUCCUCUGAACGGAUAGAAAUCGUAUCUAGAGUGUAAAGGCAUAAGGAAGCUUGACUGUGAGACCUACAAGUCGAGCAGGGACGAAAGUCGGUCUUAGUGAUCUGACGGUACUGAGUGGAAAGGCCGUCACUCAACGGAUAAAAGUUACUCUAGGAUAACAGGCUGAUCUCCCCCAAGAGUUCACAUCGACGGGGAGGUUUGGCACCUCGAUGUCGGCUCAUCGCAUCCUGGGGCGGUAGUACGUCCCAAGGGUUGGGCUGUUCGCCCAUGAAAGCGGUACGCGAGCUGGGUUCAGAACGUCGUGAGACAGUUCGGUCCAUAUCCGGUGUAGGCGCUAGAAUAUUGAGAGGGGCCUUCUUUAGUACGAGAGGACCGAGAAGGACACACCGCUGGUGUACCAGUUAUCGUGCCAACGGUAAACGCUGGGUAGCUAUGUGUGGAGUGGAUAACCGCUGAAAGCAUCUAAGUGGGAAGCCCACCUCGAGAUGAGUAUUCUC